Molecule: ribosomal RNA, 2271 nt
Filed under: Triticum aestivum (bread wheat)
Lineage: Eukaryota; Viridiplantae; Streptophyta; Magnoliopsida; Poales; Poaceae
Description: partial small subunit ribosomal RNA
Source: RNAcentral
ACACUCGUAGAUGGCGUGGCAACAAAAAAAAUCAGUGCUCCAAAAUGCUUUCGAAAGUAGCAUUUUCGGAGCAUCAUUUCUGUUUUAUCUCUGUUCAGGUUCAGCUCAAGCAGACGGUUCUAUAGCUCGUCAUCUCUGAUUUCUUCCUACUCACCAAGUCACCAUUCAUCAAUAACCCCGUUUCUGUUGUAGUAGUAUUUGUAUUAUUAUGGUGUGAAAAACCGGCAAUACCACCGUAAUCACAUACCAAUACCUUUACAUUACCACUCUCUGAUCCAAACACUUCCCAAGAGGAAAUAUAUAGUAUAGCAGCGUGGUUCCUUUUAUUCCAACACGCUAUCGUCGCCGUCGGUCACCGAUGCCACUGGAUAGAAAAACUAAAAAAAUCAGAACCUACACAAGAAAAAAUAAUGAAGAGAGGGAAGAAGCCUAGGCCGGCACGGCUGUUGGUUCCAUUCUCUUUCGUAUCCAGAUACCUGAUCGGGAUCACGCGUAGUUGCUGAGGACGUGACCGGCGCGACGCCGGAGGUCUUGACAUCAUCCAAGCCGGCUGAUAGGAUGGUCUCCCCGAACUCCGGUGCCGUGCACAAGCUUCUCUAUAUUUAAAAAUAAGAAGUGCGACUCGGAUAAAAGGGGACGGAGUCGGAUGCGUACAGGCGCAGCGCACUACUUCCCCCAGAGAAACACCGGCGAGCAAUAAUAAAUGGCGUCAUAGCCACGGGCCUUCCUCUCCCGAAGCGGAUCACACCAACCCAAGCCCCGCCGCCUCGCCGCCUUCCUCCUCCUCGCCGACCGCCCGCCCGCCCGCGACGGCACGCGUCAGCCCGCUCCCCGCCGCCGGUGCUCGACUGCCGCGGGUGAGGCGGAGAUCCAUCCCUCUGAGCUCCUACUGACUCGACGCCGGUAACGAAUCCCAGCUCCGCGCACCCGAUUGAUUCCCAACCCGUGUCUCCCUCCAGUUCCGAGGAUUUGUUUCGGGGGUUCAGGUUCAGGUUCAGCUGAGUUGCUGGACCCCCCAUGCCACACGUGAACGCCAAGGUGUCGGCGGUGGCGGCGACGGGGAUGUCCGCCGUGCCUGCGGCCGCGGCGCCGCCGUCGCCGAGGAGGUGGGAGGGGGUGGACCCGGCGCUGGAGAGGAUGGUGCUGCGCGCGUGCCUGGACCAGGCCCCCGAGCGCCGCCGCGUGCGCGAGGCCUUCAAGGACGUGCAGCUCAGCAUUGACCACUGCCUCUUCAAGGCACAAUACAGUGACAUUGGAACAAAAGAGUCAUAUGAGCGGAACUCCAGAGGUGUGGAGAUAUUCUCAAAAUGUUGGUUUCCGGAGAACCAUCGUAUGAAAGCAAUUGUUUGUCUCUGCCAUGGUUAUGGAGACACCUGUACCUUUUUCCUUGAUGGGAUUGCUAGGAAGAUUGCUUCGGCUGGAUAUGGAGUAUUUGCAUUGGACUACCCUGGUUUUGGUCUUUCCGAAGGACUUCAUGGAUAUAUUCCAAGUUUUGAUACUCUUGUUGACGAUGUAGCUGAACAUUUUGCUAAGAUCAAAGGGAAUCCUGAAUACAGAGAUCUCCCAAGCUUUCUGUUUGGCCAAUCUAUGGGUGGUGCAGUUGCAUUGAAGAUUCACUUUAAGCAACCAAAAGACUGGAAUGGUGCAAUUCUAGUUGCACCUAUGUGCAAGAUUUCAGAUGAUGUGGUACCAGCUUGGCCUGUUCAGCAAGUUCUGAUUUUCAUGGCUAAACUCCUUCCAAAAGAGAAGCUUGUUCCACAGAAAGACUUGGCAGAAUUAGCAUUCAGAGAGAAAGAAAAACAAGAGCAGUGUUCCUACAAUGUGAUUGCCUACAAGGAUAAACCACGUCUCCGAACAGCUCUGGAGAUGCUGAGGACCACACAAGAGAUAGAAAGUCGCCUAGAAGAAGUUUCCCUGCCCAUAAUCAUUCUGCAUGGCGAGGCUGAUUUGGUCACCGACCCAGGCGUGAGCAAAGAUCUGUAUGAAAAAGCGAAGACAUCGGACAAGACGCUGCGACUUUACAAAGACGCCUACCACGCCAUCUUGGAAGGCGAACCAGACGAGGGGAUCUUCAAAGUUCUCGACGAUAUAAUCUCUUGGCUGGAUCAGCAUUCCGCAAAUGAAAUACCCUCGUCGUGAGCUGCACAGAUUCUUUUUGUUAUUUGUCGAGCCUCAAUGUCACUGAUGGGAAUUCCAUUUUGGGUUUUACACGUGAUACACAUACUUAUUUCCUGCUGAUUGUGAAUAUGUAUCUAGCAUUCAUCAUCUGUG